RNAcentral lists this transfer RNA (85 nucleotides) under Felis catus (domestic cat). It matches the Rfam family "tRNA". From Rfam's summary of the family: Transfer RNA (tRNA) molecules are approximately 80 nucleotides in length. The record is from Rfam by way of RNAcentral. Lineage: Eukaryota; Metazoa; Chordata; Mammalia; Carnivora; Felidae.
ACCUGAGUGGCUCACUUGGUUGAGCAUCUGACUUCAGCUCAGGUCAUGAUCUUGCAGUUCGUGAGUUCAAGCCCCACUUCAGGCU